GGGCGUAAAGAGCUCGUAGGCGGUUUGUCGCGUCUGCUGUGAAAGCCCGGGGCUUAACCCCGUGGUGUGCAGUGGGUACGGGCAGACUUGAGUGCAGUAGGGGAGACUGGAAUUCCUGGUGUAGCGGUGAAAUGCGCAGAUAUCAGGAGGAACACCGAUGGCGAAGGCAGGUCUCUGGGCUGUUACUGACGCUGAGGAGCGAAAGCAUGGGGAGCGAACAGGAUUAGAUACCCUGGUAGUCCAUGCCGUAAACGUUGGGCACUAGGUGUGGGGGACAUUCCACGUUUUCCGCGCCGUAGCUAACGCAUUAAGUGCCCCGCCUGGGGAGUACGGCCGCAAGGCUAAAACUCAAAGGAAUUGACGGGGGCCCGCACAAGCGGCGGAGCAUGCGGAUUAAUUCGAUGCAACGCGAAGAACCUUACCAAGGCUUGACAUACACCAGACCGGCCCAGAGAUGGGUUUUCCUCUUUGAGGUUGGUGUACAGGUGGUGCAUGGUUGUCGUCAGCUCGUGUCGUGAGAUGUUGGGUUAAGUCCCGCAACGAGCGCAACCCUCGUUCUAUGUUGCCAGCACGUGAUGGUGGGGACUCAUAGGAGACUGCCGGGGUCAACUCGGAGGAAGGUGGGGAUGACGUCAAAUCAUCAUGCCCCUUAUGUCUUGGGCUUCACGCAUGCUACAAUGGCCGGUACAAUGGGUUGCGAUACCGUGAGGUGGAGCUAAUCCCAAAAAGCUGGUCUCAGUUCGGAUCGUGGUCUGCAACUCGACCACGUGAAGUCGGAGUCGCUAGUAAUCG
RNAcentral lists this ribosomal RNA (792 nucleotides) under uncultured bacterium. Its description in RNAcentral is "bacterial SSU rRNA". It matches the Rfam family "Bacterial small subunit ribosomal RNA", at positions 556 to 1344 of the family's 1533-position model. The record is from RNAcentral.